AGCGUAUAUUAAAGUUGUUGCAGUUAAAAAGCUCGUAGUUGAAUUUCGGGAUCAAUACGUCGGUCGUGCUUCGGUACGUACUGGCGUCAUUGAUUUCUCCCUUCUGACGAACCAUGAUGUCAUUAACUUGGUGUCAUGGGAAAUCAGGACUGUUACUUUGAAAAAAUUAGAGUGUUUAAAGCAGGCUCACGCUUGAAUACAUUAGCAUGGAAUAAUGAAAUAGGACGUUCGAUCCUAUUUUGUUGGUUUUUAGGAUCAACGUAAUGAUUAAUAGGGAUAGUUGGGGGCAUUAGUAUUCAAUUGUCAGAGGUGAAAUUCUUGGAUUUAUUGAAGGCUAACUACUGCGAAAGCAUUUGCCAAGGAUGUUUUCAUUAAUCAAGAACGAAAGUUAGGGGAUCGAAGACGAUCAGAUACCGUCGUAGUCUUAACCAUAAACUAUGCCGACUAGGGAUCGGAUGAUGUUAAUUUUUUAAUGACUCAUUC
Molecule: ribosomal RNA, 483 nt
Filed under: uncultured Glomeromycotina
Lineage: Eukaryota; Fungi; Glomeromycota
Description: SSU rRNA
Rfam family: Eukaryotic small subunit ribosomal RNA
Source: RNAcentral